RNAcentral lists this transfer RNA (72 nucleotides) under Pedinomonas minor. Its description in RNAcentral is "tRNA-Glu". It matches the Rfam family "tRNA". From Rfam's summary of the family: Transfer RNA (tRNA) molecules are approximately 80 nucleotides in length. Their secondary structure includes four short double-helical elements and three loops (D, anti-codon, and T loops). Lineage: Eukaryota; Viridiplantae; Chlorophyta; Pedinophyceae; Pedinomonadales; Pedinomonadaceae. The record is from RNAcentral.
GUUUUUAUCGUCUAAUGGUCAGGACGUUACUCUUUCACAGUAGAAAUAUAGGUUCAAUUCCUGUUAAAAACA